UUCAUUCGGCUAUAAUACCUAACUGAUUUUGGAUUUUAUUUUUGUGCUUUUGACUCAUUUUGUGAUUGGUACGCUAACCGGAAGUAGCAUUUUUUGAACAUAACUGCGCAGUUAAAUUAAUGACUUUUCCCAAGGAAUACUGCAUUGAAAGAUCCAUAUGAUUAUUUGGUUAUUUAAAGGAUGUAUUAUUUUAAUGGUUUACCGGUGAGCUGAUUUGAAUUAAUGUUUGAAUUUGAUUUGUUGUUGAUUGUUGUUCUGGCUCUUAUAGGUCAGUUUUUUUCUACCUUCAAAUGAAAACUGAAUAGAACAGAUGGCGAGCUGGUGGGACUUUUCUUUAAUUCCAGAUAUGUGGUGCGUAGAAGCUGAAUGCUGCUUUUCCAUAUUUGUUUCUGGCUCUGGGGAUUCACACCAGACCAGAACUCAUGGCAGAACCACAUUAGCUUAUGUUUGCUGACUAUCUCUGAAGGGAAAGGACUAAUGUGAAGUUGUGCGGUGAGUUUGAAAUUUUGUUAAAAAGAAUGAAAUUUUAUCCUUGACUAUCGAAUGCUAAUCGAACCUGGUCUCUAUUCAUCCCUCAGCAGACCAUUUGGCUGAGCUAACUGCUUAGUAAUUAAUCGUGUUAAUUUGUUUUUUUUCCCCAACAGAUUUAUUAUCCUACAAAAUCCUACCUGGUGACAACUUUAGAAAAAUUCAGAGACUGGUUUCAUCCAGAAGGAGAUGCUAUAGGGAAUUUUAUGCACUUGUUUUUAAGGACAUUUAUUCUUCACAUGAAAUGUUUUCAUUCUCUGAUUUUUGUAUGCUUUGUUGCUCUUUUACACAGAUAAUGAAUAAAGAAUGAAGUUGAGAAAAGGCAGGAAGAAGAAACUGACCCACAUUCUCCUGGGAAUUUUCCAACAUAUAAUUGGUAUUCAGUCUGCAGAAGAAAGGUUGAAUGCAUUACCUCACAUGUGGAGCUCAGCAUAAAUACACAAAAUGUGACAAAUACACACACAUGCAUUGUUUUGUAAU
This is a long non-coding RNA of Poecilia latipinna (sailfin molly), 1008 nucleotides long. RefSeq lists it as uncharacterized. The transcript is spliced from 2 exons. The record is from RefSeq and is a predicted model, not a curated record. NCBI's taxonomy places the organism in Eukaryota, Metazoa, Chordata, Actinopteri, Cyprinodontiformes, Poeciliidae.